AAACGCCAGAACGCGUCCUAAAUUCUAAUGUCAUUUAAUGUACAUAUUAUAUACUUCUUUGUUAUUAUAUGCGUAUACGUAUUAUUAUCAUUGUAAUAUAAGUAUGAUGCAAGCAUGCAUAGGUUUACGAAACCUUGUUGAAGGAUACUGUUUCGGUUAAUUUUGUCAAUUAUUGUGUCAAAAUGAAGUUGCUAUUAUUUCACUAUAAUUGUCAAUUGUUUUGGAGCUCGCUCACAAGUGACUCCAUUACGACAUGCAAGUUGUUUAGUCAAUUCAACAAUUGCGCGGCCUCUAGUUGCUCAGUUAAUAGUUGUCGUUUAAUUGCUUUUUACUCAUUAAAAUGCUCAAUGUUUGUGGUCAUGAUAUUAGUUAAUUUCCGUUGGAUUUUUAUUUAUUAGUAUUUAUUUUCACUGUCAUUGUAAAUUUCGACACUUUGCCCAUAUCACGUUUUAUUUAAUAAUGACAUCGCUUGCCCUUCUCAAAUUUAAAAUUCAGUAUCGAAAUUAUGAAAUAUCAUCACAAUGGUAAUAAAAUGGUAAUAGGAAACUCAAUCAAAUCGAUAGGAACAAACGUUAAAAAUGUUAUUGUUACCACUAGUUUAAGCACUCUGAAUUGUUUUAUUAUAAUUAUUUGUUUCACAAUGAGAUACUGAUUGCUUGUGUUAGUAAUUUCAGGGAAAUUGUUAUUUAUUGAAGUGGAUAUUGUGUAAGAUGCAUUCCAUAUGUCAGAACCGUUGAUUAAGCACUGUUCAUUGACGCACGUGAUUCAUGACUAGUGUAUGAGAAACAUGAAGUAUAUUUUUACAAAGAUUUAAUAUCCUCUCGUAGACGAAGCUGGUCUGCCCUCUGCUUGACGGGAACACGAGACCAGUGCCGCCAUGUUGGCCCGUCCGCGUCUCCUGUUGCUGUCAAUCUAACAUCGACUUCUUUGAAAGAACAAUAUUUUGUAUGAGAUAAAUAUGAUAAUCCCUAAUGUUGAAAUUCGAUACAUUGUCACAAAGGGAGGAAAAUGUCAAAUGUUGCUCGAUUGUUACCGAUUAAGUAAUUAGGAAGUUAUGUAUUUUGUCAUAUUUCUUAUACAAAGGAAAAAUAUCUCAAUGAAAUAUCAUAGUCCAAUGUAUAUAUUUAGAGUCUAGUAUCACAUCUUUUUAAACUGAGUUAGAACUAAUUCCAGAUAUGUAUUGUUCUUUGCGGCAUGACAAACGCGCCACGUCGCUUGUGAUGGUGCGUUCACGAGCUCGGCGAGAUGAAUGUAUGUAGCUUCCGUCGAGCGAGUGAACGCACCACAGUUGUUGUCCGCCAACACGCAACCGCGAGAUGUCGGGCCGGUCACGUUGACCCCAUUAUUAACCAAGCAAUGAAUCGGGCCUAUUUUAUGAUACAGAAUAUUGUUAUCGGGUGGCUAAUUUGUCAUGUGCAAACUUAACGCGUUAUAUUAGCUGAUAUCGUAGCGGCUAAGGCGGGCGUUACAUAAAGAUCCUUACCUUACUUUUAUUUUUAGAUAUAGUUGAGUUUGCGUAUUCUGAUCAAAUGUUAUUGUAAAUUUGGUGUACAGUAGAGUGGAACGGGCCGUCACUGCGCCUCGCCACAUGUAUAUAGACCGCCGCGGCGGGCGGAGUGAGCGGCCGCGGAACGAUGCUGCGAUAUUCCUUGUGCCCCUUGAAAUAUCACUGCAUAAUACGAGUCAAGAUGUAUAGACGAUGCGGUAGUGUUAUUGUGUAUAGAUGUGUUUAUACAAGCUCGAGUCGAGACUUGCCAGCCGGUUCGAGCGAACGACGACUUGCUAUGAAUCCUGACAUCGGCUCACGUUAAUUAGCUUUUAAAUAUUUCAUCAAAAUAUAAAAUACACAAAAAAAAAUGGAUAUAAAUUUCUCGACCAAGUACUGGUUGUUUUUAAAUUAUUAAAAUGUAAAAAAAAAUUAGUGUAUAAACAAGUGUACAAUUUAUGAGUUAUACUUUUCUUUUCGGCAUUUCAUGUAACAGUGGAAGGGACCCGGCUUCCGACUGCGGUCGAGGGCUGCAGCGCUGUUGCGAUCCUACACUGUCGAAAGUUAUAUGAUUAUGUUUGCAAUUACUUUUGCUCAUAUCCCCUCUUCCAUUGCUUUAUUUUUGUUUUGUCAACUGACUAAGUGUAAUAUAUAUAAUUUUGUUAAGGCAGGGUAUAGAAGAGGUACUUUUAUAAUUUGAAAUGCUUGAUGAUUUGUUUGAAUGUUUAAAAUUGAGUUGAUUUUAUCCAUUAUGAAGGAAGUCCUGAGUAGUUGUUUUUUUUUUAAUUUGGAGUUCGAAUGAGGCAGCGGAUUAGCUUAUAAUUGUCAAGUUACCACAGAUACAAUAGUCAAGAGGUAGGCUCUCUUUGGCGUUGCCUUAACUGUUUGAAGCCGUUGGUUUGGGUCGCGAGCGACCCGCAGCGGGUAGUCAGUAUUACACCACGCAAAUCCCUUGAGCUGAAGAGAGGUUGUGAAAAGUAUCGUUAUAAAAGGUACCUAUUCAAAAUCUGGACAAACAGACUAACUCUUAAAAGCAAUGUUCAUUAAUUUCGAUUAUGGGAUCAGUGCCAAACUUUCUCUUUUCUUGUUUAGCUCAAAAUGUUGCUGUUUGGUUAGUCUGCCAUUUUGUGAAUAUUUUGUUUUGAUAGUAAUAUGUAAAUCUUUUAUAAUAUAUUUGUUUACAAUAAAUAAAUGACAACAUUAUAAAUAAAUAAAAUUGUAUUUUCCAUUUAAACUGAUGAAAAAAAUAUAAAAAGAAUAAUAUGCAAUGAAA
This is a long non-coding RNA of Cydia fagiglandana, 2759 nucleotides long. RefSeq lists it as uncharacterized. The record is from RefSeq and is a predicted model, not a curated record. The transcript has 2 exons. Lineage: Eukaryota; Metazoa; Arthropoda; Insecta; Lepidoptera; Tortricidae.